RNAcentral lists this ribosomal RNA (460 nucleotides) under uncultured bacterium. RNAcentral describes it as "partial 16S ribosomal RNA". It matches the Rfam family "Bacterial small subunit ribosomal RNA", at positions 338 to 795 of the family's 1533-position model. The record is from RNAcentral.
CCUACGGGUGGCUGCAGUGAGGAAUAUUGGUCAAUGGGCUUACGCCUGAACCAGCCAAGUCGCGUGAGGGAAGACUGCCCUAUGGGUUGUAAACCUCUUUUGUCAGGGAGCAAUUGGCGCUACGUGUAGCGUUAUCGAGAGUACCUGAAGAAAAAGCAUCGGCUAACUCCGUGCCAGCAGCCGCGGUAAUACGGAGGAUGCGAGCGUUAUCCGGAUUUAUUGGGUUUAAAGGGUGCGUAGGCGGAAUGCCAAGUCAGCGGUAAAAUCGCGGGGCUCAACCUCGCUCCGCCGUUGAAACUGGCGUUCUUGAGUGGGCGAGAAGUAUGCGGAAUGCGUGGUGUAGCGGUGAAAUGCAUAGAUAUCACGCAGAACUCCGAUUGCGAAGGCAGCAUACCGGCGCCCAACUGACGCUGAAGCACGAAAGCGUGGGUAUCGAACAGGAUUAGAUACCCUUGUAGUC